UGGGGAAUAUUGCACAAUGGGCGCAAGCCUGAUGCAGCCAUGCCGCGUGUAUGAAGAAGGCCUUCGGGUUGUAAAGUACUUUCAGUCGGGAGGAAGGUGGUAAGGUUAAUAACCUUGGCAAUUGACGUUACCGACAGAAGUAGCACCGGCUAACUCCGUGCCAGCAGCCGCGGUAAUACGGAGGGUGCAAGCGUUAAUCGGAAUUACUGGGCGUAAAGCGCACGCAGGCGGUUGAUUGAGUCAGAUGUGAAAUCCCCGGGCUUAACCCGGGAAUUGCAUCUGAUACUGGUCAGCUAGAGUCUUGUAGAGGGGGGUAGAAUUCCAUGUGUAGCGGUGAAAUGCGUAGAGAUGUGGAGGAAUACCGGUGGCGAAGGCGGCCCCCUGGACAAAGACUGACGCUCAGGUGCGAAAGCGUGGGGAGCAAACAGG
This 429-nucleotide ribosomal RNA is filed under the name Chloroflexota bacterium. Its description in RNAcentral is "Chloroflexi bacterium partial 16S ribosomal RNA". It matches the Rfam family "Bacterial small subunit ribosomal RNA", at positions 355 to 776 of the family's 1533-position model. The record is from RNAcentral. Lineage: Bacteria; Bacillati; Chloroflexota.